UACGUAGGGUGCGAGCGUUGUCCGGAAUUACUGGGCGUAAAGAGCUCGUAGGUGGUUUGUCGCGUUGUUCGUGAAAACCGGGGGCUUAACCCUCGGCGUGCGGGCGAUACGGGCAGACUGGAGUACUGCAGGGGAGACUGGAAUUCCUGGUGUAGCGGUGGAAUGCGCAGAUAUCAGGAGGAACACCGGUGGCGAAGGCGGCUUCCUGGACCAGAACUGACGAUCAGGCACGAAAGCGUGGGGAGCAAACAGG
This 253-nucleotide ribosomal RNA is filed under the name uncultured bacterium. RNAcentral describes it as "partial 16S ribosomal RNA". It matches the Rfam family "Bacterial small subunit ribosomal RNA", at positions 524 to 776 of the family's 1533-position model. The record is from RNAcentral.